AUGGAUAAUGAUAUCGCCACGCUCGUCAUGGACAAUGGCUCUCCCAUGUGCAAGGCCAGCUUAGCAGGCGACGAUGCCCCUCCAUCGUGAGGCACCCAUGGCACCAGGGCAUGAUCGUGGGCAUGGGUCAGAAGAAGUCCUACGUGGACAAUGAGGCCCAGGGCAAGAGAAGCAUCCUGACCCUGAAAUACCCUAUCGAGCAUGGCAUUGUCACCAAUGGAGAAGAUCUGGCACCACACCUUCUUCAACGAGCUGCAUGUGGCUCCUCAGGAGCACCCUGUGCUGCUGACUGGGGCCCCCCUAAACCCCAAAGCCAACCGUGGGAUGACCCAGAUCAUGUUUGAGACCUUCUACACCCCAGCCAUGUAGGUGGCCAUUCAGGCUGUGCUUUCCCUGUAAGCCUCUGGCUGUACCACUGGCACCGUGAUGGACUCUGGCAGGGUCACCCACACUGUGCCCAUCUACAAGGGGCACGCCUUCCCUGGUGCCAUCCUGCAUCUGGACCCGGCUGACUACCGCAUGAAGAGCCCCGGGAAGUGCAGCUACAGCUUCACCACCACCGCUGAAGAGAGCGUGAGACAUCAAGGAGAAGCUGUGCUACCUCACCCUGGACUUCCAGCUCCUCCCUGGUCACUGUGGCCUCCAGCUCCUCCCUGGAGAAGAGCUACAAGCUGCCUGAAGCCCAAGUCGGCACCAUCAGCAACAAGCUGGUCCUCUGCCUCAAGGCUCUUUUCCAGCCUUCUUUCCUGGGCAUGAAAUCCUGUGGCAUCCACGAAACUACCUUCAACUCCAUCAUGAAGUGUGACAUGGACAUUUGCAAAGACCUCUACACCAAUGCAGUACUGUCCAGUGGCACCACUGUGUACCCUGGCAUCCCCCACAGGAUGCAGAAGGAGAUCACCACCCUGGCUCCCAGCACAAUGCAGAUAAAGAUCAUUGCUCCUCCUGAGCGCAGAUACUCUGUGUGGGUCCAGUGGCUCCAUCCUGGCCUGGCUGCCAGGCUUCCAGCAGAUGUGGAUCAGCAAGCAGCAGUACCACAAGUCCCACCCCUCCAUUGUCCACCACAGAU
This 1069-nucleotide long non-coding RNA is filed under the name Homo sapiens (human). Its description in RNAcentral is "non-protein coding lnc-FXR1-2:1". The record is from RNAcentral. Lineage: Eukaryota; Metazoa; Chordata; Mammalia; Primates; Hominidae.